Novosphingobium sp. FSW06-99 is the source of this 84-nucleotide non-coding RNA. The record is from Rfam. Lineage: Bacteria; Pseudomonadati; Pseudomonadota; Alphaproteobacteria; Sphingomonadales; Sphingomonadaceae.
UUUUAUGGUCGGGCGUGUUGCGAGCAUCUUCGGAUGCGCCGUUGCUCCAACGGUACGCCAAUCGCGGCACGUCCGGCCACCCUC